AAAAAAUAAAAAAAUAAAAAUAAAUAAAAAAAUAAAUAAAAUAUAACAGAAAAAUCUUGGACUUGGACCUCUCUCUUUUGAGCCCACAAAGUCACAAAAAUCGGGUUAUAAAUUCUAGACUUCCAUCUCCCAAAAAACCCUGGGGAAAAAGAUAGUGAGAGAAGAGCUAACAGAGUUCAGAGCAACCUCCAGAGACUGAAGGGAACUCAUCUGCAAAGAACCAA
This 224-nucleotide long non-coding RNA is filed under the name Lathyrus oleraceus (garden pea). Its description in RNAcentral is "Pisum sativum (pea) long non-coding RNA (PSAT_LNC000583)". Lineage: Eukaryota; Viridiplantae; Streptophyta; Magnoliopsida; Fabales; Fabaceae. The record is from RNAcentral.